Molecule: long non-coding RNA, 1975 nt
Organism: Marmota flaviventris (yellow-bellied marmot)
Lineage: Eukaryota; Metazoa; Chordata; Mammalia; Rodentia; Sciuridae
Source: RefSeq, a predicted model, not a curated record
CUCCCGGCAAUUGUUGUCCUGAGAAGAAAAGGCCAUUAUGCUUUUGCACCAAAGCAAGUCUGAUUUUAGAACCAAAUUUGAGAUGUUUAGGUAGGAUUCAUGUUGGCCCAUGCAAUGGCUGUGUCCCCUCCCCAAAUUAAGGGGCAGACAAUUCUGCCAGGAUCAGAGGUCAAAGGAAAGGGAAGUGGCCGUAUGAGCACAUAGCUGGAAAGCUGGAGACACCCCAGGGUCCCCACAGUGGCUGGGAGGAACCCGGGUCGCCCCCAGGAGCUGCUGAGACCAGUUCAUUAGGGGCACGUUGUGUCCCCUGAAGACCCCUGAAGGCCAAACCUAGCACUGUGCUUGGCCACAGGGGGUCUAAAGAAGUGAUUAAGUUCAAAUGGGUUAUCAGGGUGGGCCCACCCCCUGCUGCACUCCUUGUAAGAAGAGUAACUCAGGACACAGCACACAGAGAGGGCCCACCCUGUGGGGACACUGGAGAGGGCCUCUGCAAGGAAGGACAAAGGGAUCAGAACAAACCAGCCCUGGGGCACCUUGACCUGGCUUUCGGCCUCCAGGACCUGAGACAGUGCAUUCCCUGCCUAUGUCCUUGUGUGAGCCACAGGGAGUUGGCACAGUACAUAGAGGACAGGGUUAUAAACCCGUGCCCCUGGGGGGCUGAGCUCUACACAGGCAGGUCAGCACAAGGUCAGUGUGAGGUCAGCGCAAGUGUCUAAGGAGCUGUGCCAUCCCCUCAGCGUCACACUUGUGAAGGUCCUGUGAGUCCCCUGGGUGAUCUGGAGCAGACAGAGGAAAAGUGAAUUAUGUGCAAAUACUGCGCUGUUGUACACCAGGGGCUGGGGCACCCCAGGACUUCAGUGUCCACAGGGCCUGGACCAUCCCCAGAGAAUGCUGAGGGUGACUGCCAGGGCCUGGACCAGGAUGUGAGCUGGGGCACCUCUGUGGGGCUGUGGGCACCAGGACCAGGGCAGAGGUCACUUGCAGGCACAGGAAGGGGUCAGAUCUGGCCGCGUGGCUGGGUACUGCCAUUCAGCUAGAAAGCGCUGAGGCAAGCCCAGUCUGGCAGCUACUCUGUGACCCAGGUGAGUUUCUGAACUCUCCAAAUCUGUUUUCUCAUCUAUGAAAUGGACGACUGUUCACACCCUUCCUUAGGACAGCUAUUAGGUCAAAGUCAGCCUCCGCAGGCAGGAGCAGCCACCUGUGUGCACUGGAGACUCUUCCACCCUUCAUUGGACAGCUGGGACCACCCAGAAGAGCGCUCGAGCGAGUCUGGGUUCUCUCCUCCACCUGGCCUUAGGAGAGGGAUGCAGCUGUCCAGGGAAUCCAACAGAACGCCCGCCGUACAGUGUUCUGUGAAGAAAGCAAGCGCACGGGAAUGAGCUGCUCCUCUUUGAGGUCCUGGAGCAUCGGUGGAGAACGACACUUACCAGGCCCCACCAUACAGGAGCCAGACGCUGCCGUGGCAGCAGAAGCCAGGUUUCAAUCUGUGAGCUCCAGGGGCACAUUCCCCGGGUCCCAGCCCCUUCCUCUCCAAUCGGCCACACCCCCUCACUGUGUGCCUGUCCUACGGACACACGCAGACCCUGCCGCAAUGUGAGUGACCAUGCCGUGCUUCUGAAUGACCCCUGCCCCUGCCAGAGUCCACUCCAAGCAGAGUGUUGGUUCGUAGCCCCCACUCCCUAAGGUGGUCCCAGACAACAACAAAAUCACCCCUGAGUGUAAUUGCCUGUGAUAUUAUUUCAGUAGUUGUUUUAUUGCGGUGAUAAAACUAAUAAAGCCCAGUUAUAACACACAUCAUGAUGUUAAUAUAUCAAGUAAUUUGUCAAAGUUCAUAACUUGGUGGCAUUUAUGUAAAACAUUUAUAUCCCAUUUUUAAAAGACAGUAAAAUUCAAUAGCUUCAGGGACUCUGUUUUACAUGCUCUUAAAAUCCAAAUCGUAAAGAAAUUGUUUUAAAAUAAAUCUAUAUUUUCAGCA